UGGGGAAUCUUGCACAAUGGAGGAAACCCUGAUGCAGCGACGCCGCGUGAGCGAUGAAGCCCUUCGGGGUGUAAAGCUCUUUCGACGGGAACGAUAAUGAUGGUACCGGGAGAAGAAGCUGCGGCUAACUACGUGCCAGCAGCCGCGGUAAUACGUAGGCAGCAAGCGUUGUUCGUAGUUACUGGGCGUAAAGAGUGCGUAGGUGGUGCCCUAAGUCUGUUGUGAAAUCUCCCGGCUUAACUGGGAGGGUGCGGUGGAAACUGGGGUGCUUGAGUGUGGGAGAGGUAAGCGGAAUUCCUGGUGUAGCGGUGAAAUGCGUAGAUAUCAGGAGGAACACCGGUGGUGUAGACGGCUUACUGGACCACGACUGACACUGAGGCACGAAAGCGUGGGUAGCAAAC
RNAcentral lists this ribosomal RNA (401 nucleotides) under uncultured bacterium. RNAcentral describes it as "bacterial SSU rRNA". It matches the Rfam family "Bacterial small subunit ribosomal RNA", at positions 355 to 773 of the family's 1533-position model. The record is from RNAcentral.